RNAcentral lists this ribosomal RNA (425 nucleotides) under uncultured bacterium. RNAcentral's name for it is "partial 16S ribosomal RNA". It matches the Rfam family "Bacterial small subunit ribosomal RNA", at positions 354 to 796 of the family's 1533-position model. The record is from RNAcentral.
GUGGGGAAUCUUGCGCAAUGGGCGAAAGCCUGACGCAGCCAUGCCGCGUGAAUGAUGAAGGUCUUAGGAUUGUAAAAUUCUUUCACCGGGGACGAUAAUGACGGUACCCGGAGAAGAAGCCCCGGCUAACUUCGUGCCAGCAGCCGCGGUAAUACGAAGGGGGCUAGCGUUGCUCGGAAUUACUGGGCGUAAAGGGCGCGUAGGCGGACAGUUUAGUCAGAGGUGAAAGCCCAGGGCUCAACCUUGGAAUUGCCUUUGAUACUGACUGUCUUGAGUACGGGAGAGGUGAGUGGAACUCCGAGUGUAGAGGUGAAAUUCGUAGAUAUUCGGAAGAACACCAGUGGCGAAGGCGACUCACUGGCCCGUUACUGACGCUGAGGCGCGAAAGCGUGGGGAGCAAACAGGAUUAGAAACCCGGGUAGUCC